UCUGUAUUUUAAGAAGUUUGACAAAUGAGUGCAGGAUGGUGAGCAAAUGCAGACUGAAUACUGUCUUCAGAAAAUCUCUGUGUGGAUCUGUCACCAUCAUGGCUGCUAAAACAUUCAAGCAUUGUAGGAAACUAAAUGAAAUGGAUGCCCUUUUGGUGUGGGUAAACCAUAAACCAUACAAUGUCAUCUAUUCGACCCAGCCUAUCCUGUUCCUGACCAUUUAUCUGGACAUGGACUGACUCCCCGGUACACUCACAGACUCCUUCAGCAUUCUGGCCUUCAGAAGAGCCUGCCAGUUCCAAGCCAACACCUUGAUUGCAGCACCGCGAGAG
Long non-coding RNA from Hippopotamus amphibius kiboko, 332 nucleotides. RefSeq lists it as uncharacterized. The record is from RefSeq and is a predicted model, not a curated record. NCBI's taxonomy places the organism in Eukaryota, Metazoa, Chordata, Mammalia, Artiodactyla, Hippopotamidae. The transcript has 3 exons.